This 429-nucleotide ribosomal RNA is filed under the name uncultured bacterium. RNAcentral's name for it is "bacterial SSU rRNA". It matches the Rfam family "Bacterial small subunit ribosomal RNA", at positions 355 to 801 of the family's 1533-position model. The record is from RNAcentral.
UCGGGAAUUUUGGGCAAUGGGCGAAAGCCUGACCCAGCAACGCCGCGUGAAGGAUGAAGUAUUUCGGUAUGUAAACUUCGAAAGAAUAGGAAGAAUAAAUGACGGUACUAUUUAUAAGGUCCGGCUAACUACGUGCCAGCAGCCGUGGUAAUACGUAGGGACCAAGCGUUGUUCGGAUUUACUGGGCGUAAAGGGCGCGUAGGCGGCAAUUCAAGUCAUCUGUGAAAUCUCCGGGCUUAACUCGGAACGGUCAGAUGAUACUGCUUUGCUAGAGUGCAGAAGGGGCAAUCGGAAUUCUUGGUGUAGCGGUGAAAUGCGUAGAUAUCAAGAGGAACACCUGAGGUGAAGACGGGUUGCUGGGCUGACACUGACGCUGAGGCGCGAAAGCCAGGGGAGCAAACGGGAUUAGAUACCCAGGUAGUCCCUGAG